UAUGUGGCAUCUUUUUGAACUCCCUCAACCGUUCGAGCUUUCAUAAUACCAUCCAGACUUCUCCGAUAAUGAGCUCCUCCAUUCAUAUACCGGGCUGCUCCAAACGAUUUUCGAGCUUCACUAUCAGCCGAUUUUUUACAAUGAUCGACCAUUCUCCGAAUCUCUUCCAGACUUCUUUCGACCACGAACGACUUUACUCUGAACUUCUUUCGGACUUCGUCAAUGUCCGAGCUUCUUUAACAGCAGGACUUCUACAGUAGCCAGACUCCAUCCAAGUUUCUACGACGGUCGAUCGCCUUUUGGAUUUCAUCCGAGCUCCUACAAGAAUCGGAUCUCUGCCCUGAACUUCUAUUGCAAGCGGACUUCAUCCGAGCUCCUACAAGAGUCAGACUCCAUCCGAACUUCUACAGUGGAUGGAUACAGACGAACUCCUACAACGGAUAGGCUCCACUAGUCGGAUCUCUGCUCCAAACUUCUUUCGGACUUCGUCAAUGACUGAGCUUCUCCAGCAGUGGGACUUCUACAAUAAGAAGUCUCCAUCCGAGCUUCUCCAGCAGUUGGACUUCUACAAUAAGAAGUCUCCAUCCAAGCUUCCACGACAAUCGGUCUUCGUCUGAGCUUCUACAAUAAGCAAACUUCUUUCAGACUCCUACAAA
RNAcentral lists this long non-coding RNA (656 nucleotides) under Elaeis guineensis (African oil palm). Its description in RNAcentral is "long non-coding RNA (EGUI_LNC065441)". The record is from RNAcentral. Lineage: Eukaryota; Viridiplantae; Streptophyta; Magnoliopsida; Arecales; Arecaceae.